AUUGAACGCUGGCGGCAGGCUUAACACAUGCAAGUCGAGCGGGGUGAUGGUGCUUGCACUAUCACUUAGCGGCGGACGGGUGAGUAAUGCUUAGGAAUCUGCCUAUUAGUGGGGGACAACAUCUCGAAAGGGAUGCUAAUACCGCAUACGUCCUACGGGAGAAAGCAGGGGAUCACCUGUGAACUUGCGCUAAUAGAUGAGCCUAAGUCGGAUUAGCUAGUUGGUGGGGUAAAGGCCUACCAAGGGGACGAUCUGUAGCGGGUCUGAGAGGAUGAUCCGCCACACUGGGACUGAGACACGGCCCAGACUCCUACGGGAGGCAGCAGUGGGGAAUAUUGGACAAUGGGGGGAACCCUGAUCCAGCCAUGCCGCGUGUGUGAAGAAGGCCUUAUGGUUGUGAAGCACUUUAAGCGAGGAGGAGGCUCUUUUGGUUAAUACCCAAGAUGAGUGGACGUUACUCGCAGAAUAAGCACCGGCUAACUCUGUGCCAGCCGCCGCCGUAA
Molecule: ribosomal RNA, 503 nt
Filed under: uncultured bacterium
Lineage: Bacteria
Description: partial 16S ribosomal RNA
Rfam family: Bacterial small subunit ribosomal RNA
Source: RNAcentral